Small nucleolar RNA from Vicia villosa (hairy vetch), 106 nucleotides. Lineage: Eukaryota; Viridiplantae; Streptophyta; Magnoliopsida; Fabales; Fabaceae. The record is from RefSeq and is a predicted model, not a curated record.
AACCCGUGGUGUGGGCAGACUCUUAUCAUUUCCUUGUAUCGCUCUUACACAUCAAAAAGCGACUCAACAUCAUUCUGCAUAAAGCAGGUAAUUUGGUUCCUUAAUU